This 332-nucleotide ribosomal RNA is filed under the name uncultured eukaryote. RNAcentral's name for it is "partial 18S ribosomal RNA". It matches the Rfam family "Eukaryotic small subunit ribosomal RNA", at positions 1470 to 1796 of the family's 1831-position model. The record is from RNAcentral.
CCCUUAGAUGUUCUGGGCCGCACGCGCGCUACACUGGUGUGUUCAACAAGUCUGAUUUCCCUGCUUUCGAAAGGAGUGGGUAAUCUUUUAAACGCACACCGUGCUUGGGAUUGAUUUUUGCAAUUUUAAAUCAUCAACGAGGAAUCCCUUGUAUUUGCAAGUCAUCAACUUGCAGAGAAUACCGUCCCUGCUCUUUGUACACACCGCCCGUCGCACCUACCGAUUGAGAGCAUAGGUGAAAACUCAGGAUUGUUUCCUUAACACCUUCGGGUAGUUUUGGAAGCGAGAAUUUGUUUAAACCUCCGUUCUUAGAGGAAGGUGAAGUCGUAACA